Rana temporaria (common frog) is the source of this 556-nucleotide long non-coding RNA. RefSeq lists it as uncharacterized. The record is from RefSeq and is a predicted model, not a curated record. Lineage: Eukaryota; Metazoa; Chordata; Amphibia; Anura; Ranidae. The transcript is spliced from 2 exons.
AUGGCAGAGCAUACAAGAUAAGUUAUUUCAUGUACCUUUUAUUCUUUGAUUGCUGUGUUACAAAAUAGUGUGUCCCUGAUACCGUAUUUCCCGGUGUCAGGCCGUUGAAUCACGCAUCCUGCAAGUCGGAGGCUGAUACGUCUCGGGAGUUUCGUUCUUCACUAGCCCCGUUGGGAUGGCUGUUCUCGUUUCGAUCCAUGAGGUUUAGUUCACCGCAGACCGAAAGUGGAGGUGCCUACUGCGUUCCAGACCCGGAAUCUGGAUACCGUCGACUGAAUCCUGUACCGAAGCUCCAGUUUGCCACGGUUCCGGUGUUUCGAACUGUUUUCUGUUCCAGGUUUUUCCUGCCGAUUCGCCUCAAGAAAGAGGAGGGUUCUAAGGAGGCAGCCCCUUAUAUACCGGCUGUCCUGCCUCUUGAUUGGCAGACCCAGCCUGAGGGCUGCUGGGUAUUGUAGUUUUUUCUUUUUCUUUCAAGUUAAAACGUUUUUCUACUUGAAAUCACUGUAAAUGUUGUAUUUCUGCUAUGGGCAUUAUUAAAGAAAGAUAAUGCAUAAGA